GCUUGUCUCAAAGAUUAAGCCAUGCAUGUCUAAGUAUAAAUAACUACACAGUAAAACUGCGAAUGGCUCAUUAAAACAGUUAUAGUUUAUUUGAUACAUUUUAAAUGGAUAACUGUAGAAACACUAGAGCUAAUACAUGCUAAGACCGUAAGGUUGUAUUUAUUAGAUAUACCGAGUAGGUGAAUCAUAAUAACUUCGCAAAUCGCAGUAAUACUGCGAUAAAUCAUUCAAGUUUCUGCCCUAUCAUGCUCUCGAUGGUAGUGUAUUGGACUACCAUGGCUCUCACGGGUAACGGGGAAUUAGGGUUCGAUUCCGGAGAAGGAGCCUGAGAAACGGCUACUACAUCUAAGGAAGGCAGCAGG
This 362-nucleotide ribosomal RNA is filed under the name uncultured Didiniidae. RNAcentral's name for it is "partial small subunit ribosomal RNA". It matches the Rfam family "Eukaryotic small subunit ribosomal RNA", at positions 30 to 432 of the family's 1831-position model. Lineage: Eukaryota; Ciliophora; Litostomatea; Haptorida; Didiniidae. The record is from RNAcentral.